GAUGAAUUAGGGUUUAUUUCUUGAGAGAAUUUUGUGAAUGGGUGAAUGUAUUUUGCCUAUUGAGGGGCUCAAUUUCAUGUUAUGGGGGUUUAAUAUGGGAGGAAAAUGACUUAAUUUCCCCCACAACCCAUAACUAAAUGUGAAAACUAUGCCCAGAGAUGCGAUAACCGGCGUGUCGCGUCGAUGGUGUCGACGCGUCGGUUGAUGGUGUCAAUGCGAUAGCCAACGCGAUAGCCAACACGACGCAUCAUGAUCGCGUUGGCUUGCUAUUUUGGUCAUUCAAACAUGACUCAAGCGAUAUUCGAAAAAUCUGAAAGUCACCCAAGAUGACUUAUUGACAUCCCUGAUCAUGAAUCAACUAAAAAAUCAACAUUCUAAGGUCGUAAGGAUCGAAAAUAAGACCAUCCAAUUAUGAAGGCUAAAAAUGAUUCUAAGUCUUAACACUUAGCUGAAUUUUUCUAAGUCUGGGACUGAAUUGAACUAGAACUUUUACCGGGUCUUACAGCAGAUGAUUGUGAAAAUGUUAAAAAUGAUAAUGAAAUGGUAAAAAUCUCAAUAGAAGGAGAAUUAUUAAUAAAUUAUGAAAAGUAGAAAUAUGACAACAAAUUGAUAAAAUCCUAAAGUAAGUAUGAUUAUCAAUAAGUUGUCAAGAAUUAUAAAAAAGAAGUGAAAAUUAUAUUUUGUGCCUUUUAACCAUCAGGAAGCAUGAAGAAGGUAAUUUAAGCACGGAGAACCAAAAUUGGAUUUCAACACUAUCUGUUUCAAUUGAAGCAACUCUGUCCAUAAACCUCUUCUAGUCUCAAUAGUAUGUAGACCAUAAAUAGCCAUAAAAUGGAUUUGACUACCAGUAUUAGCAUCGUAAUAGCUAAAAUUAUACCUCACUUGGGUCCCUAAUGAUCCACAACCUUCCAAUGAUCCAGUUCUAUAAUUAUCACACCAUAUCCACGAUGGCCAUAUCUUUUUUACUAUACUACUAGAAAAUUGCUCCUACACCCUGUGCUCCGCAACUUCUAUACUUCUCUAUGCUUAUAGGCCUUGUUGAGGCCUCGAACAUUUCAUGUGACUAACUUCAUUAGAAAACUUAGUGUUAGUAACAUCUAACAUCCCAUGAUCCUCCAGCAAGUCCCCUACCUUAGGACCAAAAUGAAUUGGAACUUUGACUGUCCUUUGUAGCACUAGUAGGAACUCCAGGUUAAGUAGCUUUUGCUGCAGUCUUCCCUGAAGAAAGUUUUCACCCAUCGUCAUCUAUGUUCUCCUUAUGCCGAAUUAAAGGUAUCACUGGUAAGUAGGUGCAGUACUCGUAGUACCCACCUCAACAAUACUCUGCAUUUCCACUCAGCCUUGAUCAACUCUAUCUUUGCUUGUUAGUGCUUUGCCUGGUAAGUUAUCAUUGUAUUAUUUCCCGGUUAUGGAGGCUCUUUAGACUUGCACACAUGUCCCAAGUUACAAGCAAACUCCACAAUACAGGUUUCAGUCAUAUCUCACUAUUUGUGCAAACAGUCGUCCCUUUGGAUCCUUAAUUUUAACUUCUUUUGGCAAUGGCCUAGUGAUGUCCAUUUCUACUAAAAUCCUGGCGUAUGAGAUAUGAUCCACCCUUGUUGUGCAGUCAGCAACAUAACUUGGCACUUCCAGACUACUACCAAUCCCACUUAAAGUUGUAGGCUCCCAACAAUUGAGCAGCAAGUUUGGUAUUUUAUCCUAAAGUGGAAUGGACUUCAACACUUCAUCAUGAAAAAUUAAAGUUCACAGUCCAUGGUUUGAUUAUCACUAACUUAUUGUAGAUGGAGUAUGGUCCAGAGUACAAUGCUUCGUUACUUUCCCCCCAUAGUGCUGAAUUUUAUUACAAAAAACUAUCAUUGUGAUAGUAACUUCGUGGUUUAGUCGCAAGGUUCUGUUGCCUAGCUAUGAACCUCUCAAUUGCUUCGAUUGUCAGAUCCUCCCCAACAACAUAUAGAAUAGUAACUUCUAUUUCACGUACCCUUUUCAAUUUCCGCUUGUUGCAAUUCUACCACGUGUUCCCUAUUUUCAAUCACUGGUGCGAUGAAGCUUCUCUUUAUUAAGUGUUGGGUCUCCACGAGAGUGAAGAUUGACUACAGGAGUACAGGCCUUAGUAAGAUCCAAAUUAACCCAUUCCCGUGGUUGGGGUGUUGACUCUUGAUCCAUUGUCGCUCUGUCCCACCAUAUCAAGACUUGAUAUUUGCUUGCCUCUCAUCUGCAACAUUGAUUGUAUUCCCAGUUUUCCCCUAGGAGUGUUUGCAAUGGAGGUAAUCCCACCUUUACUUGACAAUUUUAUUUUAUUUAGACUGCUA
This is a long non-coding RNA of Capsicum annuum, 2309 nucleotides long. RefSeq lists it as uncharacterized. The record is from RefSeq and is a predicted model, not a curated record. The transcript is spliced from 2 exons. Lineage: Eukaryota; Viridiplantae; Streptophyta; Magnoliopsida; Solanales; Solanaceae.